RNAcentral lists this ribosomal RNA (253 nucleotides) under uncultured bacterium. Its description in RNAcentral is "partial 16S ribosomal RNA". It matches the Rfam family "Bacterial small subunit ribosomal RNA", at positions 524 to 776 of the family's 1533-position model. The record is from RNAcentral.
UACAGAGGGGGCAAGCGUUGUUCGGAAUUACUGGGCGUAAAGGGCGCGUAGGCGGCCUUCUAAGUCGAACGUGAAAUCCCUGGGCUCAACCCAGGAACUGCGUCCGAUACUGGGAGGCUUGAAUCCGGGAGAGGGAUGCGGAAUUCCAGGUGUAGCGGUGAAAUGCGUAGAUAUCUGGAGGAACACCGAUGGCGAAGGCAAUCCCCUGGGCCUGCACUGACGCUCAUGCACGAAAGCGUGGGGAGCAAACAGG